RNAcentral lists this transfer RNA (76 nucleotides) under Phaethornis syrmatophorus. Its description in RNAcentral is "tRNA-Trp". It matches the Rfam family "tRNA". Rfam says of the family: Transfer RNA (tRNA) molecules are approximately 80 nucleotides in length. Their secondary structure includes four short double-helical elements and three loops (D, anti-codon, and T loops). The record is from RNAcentral. Lineage: Eukaryota; Metazoa; Chordata; Aves; Apodiformes; Trochilidae.
GAAACUUAGGAUAACCCGAUACAAACCGAAGGCCUUCAAAGCCUUAAACAAGAGUUAAAACCCUCUUAGUUUCUGU